Molecule: ribosomal RNA, 381 nt
Filed under: uncultured eukaryote
Lineage: Eukaryota
Description: partial 18S ribosomal RNA
Rfam family: Eukaryotic small subunit ribosomal RNA
Source: RNAcentral
CAAUAGCGUAUAUUAAAGCUGUUGCGGUUAAAAAGCUCGUAGUUGGAUUUCUGUCAGGGACAACUGGUCCGCCCUCCGGGUGAGCACAUAGUUUGGUCUUGACAUCUUGCUGGAAGCUGUUGCUGCACUUGGCUGUGUGGCGCAGUGUUCAGCACUUUCACUUUGAGGAAAUUGGAGUGUUUCAAGCAGGCACAUGCCUUUGGACACAGUAGCAUGGAAUAAUUAGAUUGGGCUUUUGCUCCAAUUUGUCGGUUUCUGGAGCUGAGGUGAGUAUUAAUGGGGAUUGUUGGGGGCAUCCGAAUUUAGCCGUCAGAGGUGAAAUUCUUGGAUCUGCUAAAGACGGACAACUGCGAAAGCGUUUGCCCAGGAUGUUUUCAUUGA